This 433-nucleotide ribosomal RNA is filed under the name uncultured bacterium. RNAcentral's name for it is "partial 16S ribosomal RNA". It matches the Rfam family "Bacterial small subunit ribosomal RNA", at positions 29 to 507 of the family's 1533-position model. The record is from RNAcentral.
AACGAACGCUGGCGGCAUGCCUAACACAUGCAAGUCGAACGAGACCUUCGGGUCUAGUGGCGCACGGGUGCGUAACGCGUGGGAAUCUGCCCUUGGGUUCGGAAUAACAGUUGGAAACGACUGCUAAUACCGGAUGAUGACGUAAGUCCAAAGAUUUAUCGCCCAGGGAUGAGCCCGCGUAGGAUUAGCUAGUUGGUGGGGUAAAGGCCUACCAAGGCGACGACCCUUAGCUGGUCUGAGAGGAUGAUCAGCCACACUGGGACUGAGACACGGCCCAGACUCCUACGGGAGGCAGCAGUGGGGAAUAUUGGACAAUGGGCGAAAGCCUGAUCCAGCAAUGCCGCGUGAGUGAUGAAGGCCUUAGGGUUGUAAAGCUCUUUUACCCGGGAUGAUAAUGACAGUACCGGGAGAAUAAGCCCCGGCUAACUCCGUG